RNAcentral lists this ribosomal RNA (220 nucleotides) under uncultured bacterium. Its description in RNAcentral is "partial 16S ribosomal RNA". It matches the Rfam family "Bacterial small subunit ribosomal RNA", at positions 1281 to 1500 of the family's 1533-position model. The record is from RNAcentral.
AAACGUCCCAGUUCGGAUUGUAGUCUGCAACCCGACUACAUGAAGCCGGAAUCGCUAGUAAUCGCGGAUCAGAAUGCCGCGGUGAAUACGUUCCCGGGUCUUGUACACACCGCCCGUCACACCAUGGGAGUUGGAAAUGCCCGAAGUCAGUGGCCCAACCGGAAGGGGGGAGCUGCCGAAGGCAGGUUCGAUGACUGGGGUGAAGUCGUAACAAGGUAGC